AAAAUAAAUAGAUAAAAUAUUUAAAUUAUAACUAUUUAAUAUUGAUUUAAUUUAAGAUCAUCCCUGGUUCAUCCAUGUACUAUCAUAUAUAAGAAUGCCAAUCCUCAAAAUUAAGGUAUUAGAAUCAAGUCUGCUUAUCACUGAUCACCAUAGUGAUCACAAAACACAAUUCUUACAUUUUUCUUUUUGAUGAAACGAUAUAUGGGUGC
This 209-nucleotide long non-coding RNA is filed under the name Elaeis guineensis (African oil palm). Its description in RNAcentral is "long non-coding RNA (EGUI_LNC004845)". The record is from RNAcentral. Lineage: Eukaryota; Viridiplantae; Streptophyta; Magnoliopsida; Arecales; Arecaceae.